Molecule: ribosomal RNA, 755 nt
Filed under: Enterococcus casseliflavus
Lineage: Bacteria; Bacillati; Bacillota; Bacilli; Lactobacillales; Enterococcaceae
Description: bacterial SSU rRNA
Rfam family: Bacterial small subunit ribosomal RNA
Source: RNAcentral
UUUCACUCGGAGCUUGCUCCACCGAAAGAAAAAGAGUGGCGAACGGGUGAGUAACACGUGGGUAACCUGCCCAUCAGAAGGGGAUAACACUUGGAAACAGGUGCUAAUACCGUAUAACACUAUUUUCCGCAUGGAAGAAAGUUGAAAGGCGCUUUUGCGUCACUGAUGGAUGGACCCGCGGUGCAUUAGCUAGUUGGUGAGGUAACGGCUCACCAAGGCAACGAUGCAUAGCCGACCUGAGAGGGUGAUCGGCCACACUGGGACUGAGACACGGCCCAGACUCCUACGGGAGGCAGCAGUAGGGAAUCUUCGGCAAUGGACGAAAGUCUGACCGAGCAACGCCGCGUGAGUGAAGAAGGUUUUCGGAUCGUAAAACUCUGUUGUUAGAGAAGAACAAGGAUGAGAGUAAAAUGUUCAUCCCUUGACGGUGUCUAACCAGAAAGCCACGGCUAACUACGUGCCAGCAGCCGCGGUAAUACGUACGUGGCAAGCGUUGUCCGGAUUUAUUGGGCGUAAAGCGAGCGCAGGCGGUUUCUUAAGUCUGAUGUGAAAGCCCCCGGCUCACCGGGGAGGGUCAUUGGAAACUGGGAGACUUGAGUGCACAAUAGGAGAGUGGAAUUCCAUGUGUAGCGGUGAAAUGCGUAGAUCUAUGGAGGAACACCAGUGGCGAAAGCGGCUCUCUGGUCUGUAACUGACGCUGAGGCUCGAAAGCGUGGGGAGCGAACAGGAUUAGAUACCCGGGAAAUCAACCAAGA